GUCCACGCCGUAAACGAUGGGUGCUAGGUGUGGGGGGUGUCAACUCCCUCCGUGCCGAAGCUAACGCAUUAAGCACCCCGCCUGGGGAGUACGGCCGCAAGGCUAAAACUCAAAGGAAUUGACGGGGGCCCGCACAAGCAGCGGAGCAUGUUGUUUAAUUCGACGCGACGCGAAGAACCUUACCAAGGCUUGACAUGCACGGGAAUGUCGUGGAAACACGGCAGCCCUUCGGGGCUCGUGCACAGGUGGUGCAUGGCUGUCGU
Molecule: ribosomal RNA, 263 nt
Filed under: uncultured bacterium
Lineage: Bacteria
Description: partial 16S ribosomal RNA
Rfam family: Bacterial small subunit ribosomal RNA
Source: RNAcentral